CACCUGUUUAUCAAAAACAUGGUUUUAUGAUAAUAAUAUAAAAUUGUUUUCUGCUCUAUGAUAUAAUUAAAUGGCUGCAGUAUAUUAACUGUACUAAGGUAGCAUAAUCAGUUGUUUUUUAAAAGGAAACUAGUAUGAAGGAAUUGAUGAAAUUUAUACUGUCUUUCAAAUUUAUAAGUUUAAUUUAUUAGUUAAGUAAAAAUUCUUAAGUGAUAAUAUGGGACGAGAAGACCCUAUAGAAUUUAAUAUAAAAUAAUAUUUAAAUUUUAAGAUUUAAUAAAUAUUAUAAGUUAUAUUUAAUUGGGAGGAUUAUUAAAUUUAAAUAACUUUAAUUUUAAAAUUAUUAAAAUAUUAAUGAAUAGUUAAAAGAAUGGUUAAAAAAUUUAAAGAGAAUUAAUUACCUUAGGGAUAACAGCGUAAUAUUUUUGGAUAGAUCUUAUUGAUAAAAAUGAUUGCGACCUCGAUGUUGAAUUAAAAUAAAAAUUAAAUGUAGAUGUUUAAUAUUUAAGUCUGU
Molecule: ribosomal RNA, 514 nt
Filed under: Temnothorax americanus
Lineage: Eukaryota; Metazoa; Arthropoda; Insecta; Hymenoptera; Formicidae
Description: partial 16S large subunit ribosomal RNA
Source: RNAcentral